CGUUAGCUCAGUUGGUAGAGCAGUUGACUUUUAAUCAAUUGGUCGCAGGUUCGAAUCCUGCACG
RNAcentral lists this transfer RNA (64 nucleotides) under Escherichia coli. Its description in RNAcentral is "tRNA-Lys". It matches the Rfam family "tRNA", at positions 5 to 66 of the family's 71-position model. From Rfam's summary of the family: Transfer RNA (tRNA) molecules are approximately 80 nucleotides in length. Their secondary structure includes four short double-helical elements and three loops (D, anti-codon, and T loops). Further hydrogen bonds mediate the characteristic L-shaped molecular structure. tRNAs have two regions of fundamental functional importance: the anti-codon, which is responsible for specific mRNA codon recognition, and the 3' end, to which the tRNAs corresponding amino acid is attached (by aminoacyl-tRNA synthetases). tRNAs cope with the degeneracy of the genetic code in two manners: having more than one tRNA (with a specific anti-codon) for a particular amino acid; and 'wobble' base-pairing, i.e. permitting non-standard base-pairing at the 3rd anti-codon position. RNAcentral also lists the same sequence under 19 other names. Lineage: Bacteria; Pseudomonadati; Pseudomonadota; Gammaproteobacteria; Enterobacterales; Enterobacteriaceae. The record is from RNAcentral.